UUCUUAUAAUCAGGCAAGCUUUAUCGAUGGCAGCUCAACUGUCAGUCUUCAGCAGGAAUAUGAUGGUGUAAGCUGGUAGUGAUUGCUAUCUCCAUUGUCUAGUUUUGACAGAGUUUAACUUCAGCUCCUUUGAACACUGUUAAGUAUUUCCAACUGAAUGAAGGCAGAGUCUGCAUUAUUGUUAAUCAAGUGAACUGAGAGAAGCCCACAUACACUUCAGAGCUAAGAGCUUGUGAACAUCAGAGAGCUGAAGAAAGCUUGUCUAAAGUGGAAUUUAUUAGAAGUUCAUGACAAUGACUACAAAGCACACUUUGAAGAGUUGAGGUGAGGAAGCAUACAUGCAUCAGCCAUUGAAGAGUUGCACAGCUGAGUGGUAUUAAGGCAGUUUGCCAAAAGACUGAUGUCAAGAUUUGGCUAAAGUACCUUUUACAGUUUAUCUGGAUAAUUUUGAUGCCAGUUCUAUUUUUCCAGUGUACCCGUUGACCACCUUGUAUCAUCAAGAAAUAUCAUUAUCCAAAUCAUGAAUGA
Molecule: long non-coding RNA, 528 nt
Filed under: Numida meleagris (helmeted guineafowl)
Lineage: Eukaryota; Metazoa; Chordata; Aves; Galliformes; Numididae
Description: lncRNA (ENSNMEG00000011457.1)
Source: RNAcentral